AUUUUGGUCGCCAACGAGUGGCGGACGGGUGAGUAACACGUAGGUAACCUGCCCAGAAGCGGGGGACAACAUUUGGAAACAGAUGCUAAUACCGCAUAACAGCGUUGUUCGCAUGAACAACGCUUAAAAGAUGGCUUCUCGCUAUCACUUCUGGAUGGACCUGCGGUGCAUUAGCUUGUUGGUGGGGUAACGGCCUACCAAGGCGAUGAUGCAUAGCCGAGUUGAGAGACUGAUCGGCCACAAUGGGACUGAGACACGGCCCAUACUCCUACGGGAGGCAGCAGUAGGGAAUCUUCCACAAUGGGCGCAAGCCUGAUGGAGCAACACCGCGUGAGUGAAGAAGGGUUUCGGCUCGUAAAGCUCUGUUGUUAAAGAAGAACACGUAUGAGAGUAACUGUUCAUACGUUGACGGUAUUUAACCAGAAAGUCACGGCUAACUACGUGCCAGCAGCCGCGGUAAUACGUAGGUGGCAAGCGUUAUCCGGAUUUAUUGGGCGUAAAGAGAGUGCAGGCGGUUUUCUAAGUCUGAUGUGAAAGCCUUCGGCUUAACCGGAGAAGUGCAUCGGAAACUGGAUAACUUGAGUGCAGAAGAGGGUAGUGGAACUCCAUGUGUAGCGGUGGAAUGCGUAGAUAUAUGGAAGAACACCAGUGGCGAAGGCGGCUACCUGGUCUGCAACUGACGCUGAGACUCGAAAGCAUGGGUAGCGAACAGGAUUAGAUACCCUGGUAGUCCAUGCCGUAAACGAUGAGUGCUAGGUGUUGGAGGGUUUCCGCCCUUCAGUGCCGGAGCUAACGCAUUAAGCACUCCGCCUGGGGAGUACGACCGCAAGGUUGAAACUCAAAGGAAUUGACGGGGGCCCGCACAAGCGGUGGAGCAUGUGGUUUAAUUCGAAGCUACGCGAAGAACCUUACCAGGUCUUGACAUCUUGCGCCAACCCUAGAGAUAGGGCGUUUCCUUCGGGAACGCAAUGACAGGUGGUGCAUGGUCGUCGUCAGCUCGUGUCGUGAGAUGUUGGGUUAAGUCCCGCAACGAGCGCAACCCUUGUUACUAGUUGCCAGCAUUAAGUUGGGCACUCUAGUGAGACUGCCGGUGACAAACCGGAGGAAGGUGGGGACGACGUCAGAUCAUCAUGCCCCUUAUGACCUGGGCUACACACGUGCUACAAUGGACGGUACAACGAGUCGCGAACUCGCGAGGGCAAGCAAAUCUCUUAAAACCGUUCUCAGUUCGGACUGCAGGCUGCAACUCGCCUGCACGAAGUCGGAAUCGCUAGUAAUCGCGGAUCAGCAUGCCGCGGUGAAUACGUUCCCGGGCCUUGUACACACCGCCCGUCACACCAUGA
Molecule: ribosomal RNA, 1343 nt
Filed under: Limosilactobacillus fermentum
Lineage: Bacteria; Bacillati; Bacillota; Bacilli; Lactobacillales; Lactobacillaceae
Description: bacterial SSU rRNA
Rfam family: Bacterial small subunit ribosomal RNA
Source: RNAcentral